Molecule: long non-coding RNA, 4795 nt
Filed under: Sus scrofa (pig)
Lineage: Eukaryota; Metazoa; Chordata; Mammalia; Artiodactyla; Suidae
Description: lncRNA (ENSSSCG00000047655.2)
Source: RNAcentral
GAUCUCAGACUGAGAGAGUGAUCCCUUGGAACCGGCCAGUUGCUGUGACAGAGGAAAGCAAGAGCAUGGUGAAUAAUGUACUACUAUACACCCAGACUGCCAUUUGUCCCAUUUCAUUUGCUGAGGGAGAGACAUCAGUAUUUAGUGGACCAGCAUUAAUGGCUACCUUAGUCCCUCUUCAUCCUCCCAACAGCCCACAUGGAGGGAUAUAGUAUAUGAAGGAUUUGAAAUUUAAAAUGUCCUAUAGUUUUACUCUGUAUGAUAAGAAUAACAAAGAAUAAUGCACUGAAAUAGCCAUUUGUUCUUUUAAUCAAUAAAAUAGCAAGUUCCAAGUAUUCCAUCAUUUGAAUAAUAUUCUGGAAGCUUUUGGAACCAGAAGGUUAGUUAUGUUCACAAUUAAUUUGGAGAGUUAAGAUACAAUAACUUUUGGAGAGAAAAUACAUGAAAUUUGGACCUGAAUGACCCUUAGCCUGGAAUGAGAUAAACUGGUCUGGAAGCUGUGCCUUGAUAGACUCCUUUCAUGGAGCUUACCUUCAGUUGUUGUAUUGCUCUGGAGAAGAUUUCCAUUUCUGAAGCAUCAGUAAUUUCUACACAAAUAACCUUGACUCUGAGAAGGAAAUUUUUCUUUUUCCUGAAUACUGUGUGUGGGAGGGAUAAUUGCAAGGACUUUUUAGCAUUUCUCUUGCUUAAUGCUUUCUAAUCAGCCUUACGGGAAGUAGAUUUUUUUUUGCUACCACAUUUCCAUUUAGGUCCUUAUUUCAAUGGAGCACUCUACAUCAUUCAACACCACUGUCUUGAAACGCUUUCCCCACCUGGGUUCCGUGAUGUGUUCUUUCCUCUCUUGCUGGAUACUCUUAUUCAGGUUUUUUCAUCUGCUUGUCUUCCCUGCCCCAUGAAUGUUAACAUUUCCUCCACUUUUCUUUGCUUCCCUUUACUUCCAAAAUCUCCAAAUCAUUUUCCCCUUCAAAUUGCCUCAUGGCAGCUGCUUUACUUCAGACAUUCAAGUUGUAUUUUUAAACUAUAAUUCACCUGCCUCCUAUGUCUCUCUGCUUCGAAUAUCUGUCCACCUUGUCCUGUCACUUUCCAGGGAGAUCUUGUAUAGGACAAUGGCAAACUAUUAGUGUAAUCAUCAUAUAUAUAUAAGUUGUUCCAAACCCACUUUUAUUAUUCUAGUUUAACUUUCUCCUAUACUCAUCAUAGCCACAUCUGUAAUCACAGAAAUGUCCCAGGUUCUUUCAAGACUGCAAAGAACAGCAUGGGGCAGUAGAAAGACACAGAUUUUGGCAGGCAGGUAUAUCCAGAUUCAAAUCCUGGAUUUGGCAAUUAUGAGCUACUUAACCUCGAGCAAACUACCUAACCUCUCUGAAAAUCUAUUUUAUCUUCUCUUCAAUGGGAAUGACAGUCAUGAUUCACAUAGUUAUUUUCAGCAUUAGUCUUGAUAUAUGUAAAGAACUUAUCAUAGUAACUAAAGCAUAGUAGAGUUUUCAUAACUGGUAGUUAUUAUCAUUAUUAUUAUAUCUUCAUAUCCAUGUAGACAGUGUUGCUUCUCAUGAUAUUUCUAACCUUACUUACACAGCAAAUUUGUAUUCAUACUUUAGAAUUGCAAGGUUUUCAAUGCCUACUGCCUUCAACUUGCCUUUCUGGGAAAAAUUGCCCUGCUCCUUAGUACUCUACACAACAACAUUAUAUUAAUGGUUCUUGUAUAAGAGUUGCUAUUGCUUUGAUCAAGGGUGGACUAAAAUCCAAAAUAAUCUGUCUUCAGAUUGGCUAAUGGUUAUGAAGUGGACUUGUGUGAAGGAUUUGGUCCAAUACUUGUGACCUGUAGAAGCUAGACUAGAAAAUAUGGACAGGAUUGCUAUUUAGUAAUAAAUGGUCAGCCUGUAGUAAGAGAACUGAGAGCACAGAGAGGGCCAUGAAGCAGGAAGACAAAGCAGUCAUCAGGUAUGAAUCCCUUGGAAAAGUACAGAGAAGAGAGUUGGCACCUUGGGCUUGUAGUUAAUGUGCUCCAUCCCAAAACAAACAAACAAAAAACCUCUCAGGCUCAACACAAUACUGAGUCUCUGCUCCUUGCAACCAACUGGAAGAUGUGCCUCAUAAUGUUACCUUUCAUUCUUUUGACUCCCUCUAGGAGUAGCUUCUCUGGGGUCCCAGAACAUAUAUAUCUAUGUCUUUUAGAACAUAUUCUAAUAAUCUCUAUUGUUUGUCUCAACAUAAUGAGAAUUUCUGUAUUUCUUUAUAGUUCUAGCAUAUAAUAUUUUUUUCUGCCAUACAGUAGAUGAUGAAUGAGUAUUGAUUUAUGGGUAAUAAGUGAAUAAAUGAGUUCUUGCUUAUGAUUCCUACAGAAUUCCAAAAAGCACAUCACUUACAAGUUAAGUGAUUUAAAAAUAGUGCACCUGUAUUAUGUGAUUACUUUAACCUCUGUUCAGAAUAAAUGACACUAGUUCAUCUUAUUUAGGUUAAGAGACAGAGGUAGGAAAGUUGUCAGGAAGCUUUUCUUUACCUUUCUUUCUAACCUGAAAUCAACAUGGGCAUUUUGUAAUGCAUUCUUGCUACGUUCUGUGAAAGAGAAUUGUGAACUGUGCUGAAGCAAGAGUAAAACUUUGCUUAAGUGAAUUGUGUAAUUAAAUUCUGCAUCCUAACACUCCAUGAAUUUAUAGGGUCUAUUGUGUAAUUAGUUUACAAAAGAAAGAGCAUUGGAAUUAUUUAUGACAGAUGUUCACCUAACUUAAAACAGGAAGAUUAUAUUUACUUCUAUGUAGUUAUUACAAUGUAAUUAAAACCAUAAAACCACCUUAUCUGAAUUUCAAAGCCCAAGCAUAUUUUUUCUUUUUUUGGACUUACUGACUACAUUACUCUUUACUGAUCAUGCAAAGAUCAUAGGAGAUGGCCGCAGGUUGGCCACUGUAAGCUUGCCAGAUAUUUUAGUAAGUUUUUAUUUAUUCUUUUGCUCCACUUUUCAGUGGAUGAUGAGAUAAAUCUCUGAAAAAGUUGUAUGUUGGCAGAAACAUGUAGAAUAUGGUUGAUGACAAAAAUCAUUUUUGUGCCUAUUUUUUGGGAGUGCUAAAAGAAGAUCUGAGUUUUAUGUGUCAGUACUUUGUGUGUAAACCACUGUUGUCAUCUUGCAGACAAUGAAGAAGCAGGACUGUAAUUCUCCUCUGAUCUGAUUACCUAUAUAUGAUUACAUAUACACUUUAAAAAUGUGAGUGUGGAAAAUUCACAGUGUAAUUUUACCACGUUCCAUGCUGAAUAGAGAUGGUCUUAGCUUGCCCACCCUCCAUGGUAAAUCUGCUGGAGGGAAAGUUCUUGCAGGAAAUAGUAGUUGGAUUUCCAAAAAACAUGAACUAUCUUUUGAUUCAAGGCCUGGGAAAAUAUGCCCAGAUGUCAAAUGUCUGCUUCAAUCAAUUCAGCUCAUUCCACCCAUAAUCAUUUGCUUGUUAUAGGAGAUUUCCGACUCCUCCAUAAUGGCUUACUUGGAUCAGGGCAAUAUUAUUCAGGGAUUUGACAACAUGUGCAAACUCUUUUUGAAUUAAUUUUCAAAGUCUUUUGUGACUGGUGUCAAUUUGGCAACAGUAUUCUUUCGUAUUCGUAGGCUCAAGGUCUAGGGUUUGGGGGUUGUUAAUUUUAAGAAUUUCCUCCUCAACAACUCCUUUUCACCUUCCAGAAGACAGAAGUACUGUGAGCAUCAGAAUAUUAGAGUUAAAAUAGGGGGAGAGACAUGGAUUUCAAGGUUGUAAGUUUGACUUUUUCACUCUGAAAAGAACUUUUAACAGCAGCAUAAUUUGAGAAUAAGGCUGAAGCUUAGAAUCUGCCUCAUUCAAGGUUUCUAAAUGCUCACAGAAAGAAACUUUUCACCUGUAAAUGUGGCACUUAUUCUAGAAUGUAUCAUUUAUACUAUAGCAAUCAUUUUAUAGCUGCAUCAUACUAAAAAUAUUUAAAUUAAAAUGCAGUUAAAACUGAGGUGUAAUAUUGGCUCAUAUUUUAAAAUUUAAAAAAUUAUUUAUAAAAUUGAACUACAGAAGGCAGAAAACAUUUCACAGGUUAAUUUUGCUCAGUGUUGCCCUAAAAACAUCCUCAUGUCCACUGCCUUGGGUUGGGCACAAUAUAAAGAAAGCUAAAGAAACAUAGCCCUUUCUCACCAGACUGAGAUUGUACCUUGUAGCCUUGUAACACUGUCACCCAAUGUCCCAGGGAGUCUUUCUCUUUUUUAUGUUGGUGCCUAUAACUGACUUAAAAAUUUUUCAGAAUAGAGAGAAUGGCCAGCAAGAUGAUAGUGCUCUAGGAAGUAUAUCUUUUCUACAAUAGCAUUUCAUUUUAUUGACUGAUUCAUUACAGGUACUUUCACAUAGAUCACUUUUUAGGUUGUGAUUGGAAAAUGAUUAAGAUCCUCUCCUUUUUAAAAAAAUUAAUACUAAGGUUAAAAAGACAUGCAUUUAUAGUGUAUCAAACCAGUAUCCAGGCAUAUUUGUGGGAAUUUGUGAUCCAAGUUUGGGCUGUAAAAUUUAACUUCCAUUUUAAAUGCAUCUUUCACAAACUAAUUCAUUUAGUACAAUUUGUAAUUUUCUGUGUUAACAAUUAUUAAAUACCAAUUUUACAUCAAAAGGAAAGGGAGGGAUAAAUGAGAAGUUUGGUAUUAACAUAUACACACUACUAUAUAUAAAAUAUAUAAGCAUCAAAGUCCUACUGUAUAGCACAGGGAAAUCUCAAUAUUUUAUAAUAACCUAUAUGGGAAAAUAAUAUAUAACCGAUUCAUUACAGUAUACUUGAAACAAAGACAACAUUGUAAGUCAACUAUACU